Rhea pennata is the source of this 442-nucleotide long non-coding RNA. RefSeq lists it as uncharacterized. NCBI's taxonomy places the organism in Eukaryota, Metazoa, Chordata, Aves, Rheiformes, Rheidae. The transcript has 4 exons. The record is from RefSeq and is a predicted model, not a curated record.
GUCCGGGUGUCCCCACAGGUGGCGGCGGGGUGGCGGCGGACGAGGAGCCGGUCGUGGAGCCACCAGGAACCUUCUUCCUCCGCAACAAGAAGCCCCGGACGCCUGGGUCCCCGGCGGGUCCCGCUGAUGCCACCUUGAGUUACUCGUCGCUGCUCUUCCCUCCUGGACGGUCAUCGGGGACCGGGGCCAGGCUGCGAGGGGACACCGUGGUCUACAGUGUCCUCAAGAGGAGCCAAGGGGAUGCCAAGGUCGCUGAAGGUCCCGACUAUGAGAACGUCCUGCCCGGACAAGGGGAUGGGGACAAGGAUGGGGAGGGGACCCUGCUCUACGCCGCACUGGCCCUGUCCCCCCCAGGGACACCACGGGGACAGCACGGGGACACCAGGGCCGCCGAGGACACCGUGGAGUACGCGGCCCUGCGCCACUGAUGGACACGGGGACA